This 223-nucleotide ribosomal RNA is filed under the name uncultured bacterium. RNAcentral's name for it is "partial 16S ribosomal RNA". It matches the Rfam family "Bacterial small subunit ribosomal RNA", at positions 15 to 228 of the family's 1533-position model. The record is from RNAcentral.
GAUCCUGGCUCAGGAUGAACGCUGGCGGCGUGCCUAAUACAUGCAAGUAGAACGCUGAAGGAAGGAGCUUGCUCUUUCCGGAUGAGUUGCGAACUGGUGAGUAACGCGUAGGUAACCUGCCUGGUAGCGGGGGAUAACUAUUGGAAAUGAUAGCUAAUACCGCAUAACAGUAGAUGUUGCAUGACAUUUACUUGAAAGGUGCAAUUGCACCACUACCAGAUGG